UACGUAGGGCGCAAGCGUUGUCCGGAUUCACUGGGUGUAAAGGGUGCGUAGGCGGGAGAGUAAGUCCGCGGUGAAAUCUCACAGCUCAACUGUGAAACUGCCGUUGAUACUGCUUUUCUUGAGUUCGGGAGAGGUUGAUGGAAUUCCAGGUGUAGCGGUGAAAUGCGUAGAUAUCUGGAAGAACACCAGUGGCGAAGGCGGUCAACUGGCCCGUAACUGACGCUGAGGCACGAAAGCGUGGGUAG
Molecule: ribosomal RNA, 245 nt
Filed under: uncultured bacterium
Lineage: Bacteria
Description: partial 16S ribosomal RNA
Rfam family: Bacterial small subunit ribosomal RNA
Source: RNAcentral